This 108-nucleotide non-coding RNA is filed under the name Bacillus testis. Its description in RNAcentral is "SAM riboswitch (S box leader)". It matches the Rfam family "SAM riboswitch aptamer (S box leader)". From Rfam's summary of the family: The SAM riboswitch is found upstream of a number of genes which code for proteins involved in methionine or cysteine biosynthesis in Gram-positive bacteria. Lineage: Bacteria; Bacillati; Bacillota; Bacilli; Caryophanales; Bacillaceae. The record is from RNAcentral.
UCUUAUCAAGAGAGGUGGAGGGAUGUGCCCGAUGAAACCCGGCAACCGUCAAAAUAUUUUUGAAAUGGUGCCAAUUCACACAAAGCAAAAAUGCUUUGGUAGAUGAGA